ACGCGUUGGGAGCUCUCCCAUAUGGUCGACCUGCAGGCGGCCGCGAAUUCACUAGUGAUUCGUAUUACCGCGGCUGCUGACACAGAGUUAACCGGUGCUUAUUCUGCGGGUACCGUCAUAGCAACGAGUUAUUCGCUCGUUACCUUUCUUCCCCACCUAAAGUGCUUUACAACCCGAAGGCCUUCUUCACACACGCGGCAUCGCUGGAUCAGGGUUUCCCCCAUUGUCCAAGAUUCCCCACUGCUGCCUCCCGUAGGAGUCUGGGCCGUGUCUCAGUCCCAGUGUGGCUGGUCAUCCUCUCAGACCAGCUACGGAUCGUCGCCUUGGUAGGCUUUUACCCCACCAACUAGCUAAUCCGACGUAGGCUCACCCCAGAGCGCAAGGCCUUUCGGUCCCCUGCUUUUGAUCUCUCGAUAUCAUGUGGUAUUAGCCCGAGUUUCCUCGGGUUAUCCCACGCUCCAGGACAGAUUCCUACGUGUUACUCACCCGUCCGCCACUCGCCACCCCAUAAAGACCGAAAUCUUUACUGAGCUGCCGUUCGACUUGCAUGUGUUAGGCAUGCCCCCAGCGUUCAAUCUGAGCCAUGAUCAAACUCUAAUCGAAUUCCCGCGGCCGCCAUGGCGGCCGGGAGCAUGCGAC
This 639-nucleotide ribosomal RNA is filed under the name uncultured Gammaproteobacteria bacterium. Its description in RNAcentral is "partial 16S ribosomal RNA". The record is from RNAcentral. Lineage: Bacteria; Pseudomonadati; Pseudomonadota; Gammaproteobacteria.